RNAcentral lists this small nuclear RNA (299 nucleotides) under Heterocephalus glaber (naked mole-rat). RNAcentral's name for it is "7SK RNA". It matches the Rfam family "7SK RNA". Rfam says of the family: 7SK was discovered as an abundant small nuclear RNA in the mid-70s but a possible function has only recently been suggested. Two independent studies have found that 7SK RNA binds the CDK9/cyclin T complex (known as elongation factor P-TEFb). Lineage: Eukaryota; Metazoa; Chordata; Mammalia; Rodentia; Bathyergidae. The record is from Rfam by way of RNAcentral.
GGAUGUGAGGGGGAUCUGGCUGCGACAUCUGUCACCCCAUUGAUCGCCAGGGUUGAUUCAGCUGAUCUGGCUGGCUAGGCGGGCGUCGCCUUCCUCCCUCACCGCUCCAUGUGCUUCCCUCCCGAAGCUGUGCGCUCUGAAGAGGACGACUACCCCUGAUAGAGGAGGACCGUUUCCUGAGUCAAGGGUAUACGAGUAGCUGCGCUCCCCUGCUAGAACCUCCAAACAAAAAAUAGUUUUAUUGUGGUAUAAUUCAUAUCCUGUAAAAUUUUCCCAUUGUAAGUGUACAGUUUACUAAU